UCCGAGUCGUCGCAUAUGAGACCGCAGUUGCCGUUGCACAGCGCCAUUAUGUCCUACAACAUUCGGCAGGAAGAAGGGCACGGGUUAACGCUGUGUCUCGGCAUACAACAAGAUGGUACUCACGUCUGUUCGAUCCAAUUGUUAAAUCAAUCGUCAAUUCAGAGCGAAGGGGUUGUUUAUCGAAAAGUGUGAGAGGGCGAGACAAGCAUGACGAUCACGAUGUUACACGGAUUCCAUGGAAAAAAAAAAAAAAAAGAAAAAAA
Long non-coding RNA from Harpegnathos saltator (Jerdon's jumping ant), 263 nucleotides. RefSeq lists it as uncharacterized. The record is from RefSeq and is a predicted model, not a curated record. Lineage: Eukaryota; Metazoa; Arthropoda; Insecta; Hymenoptera; Formicidae. The transcript has 2 exons.